Molecule: ribosomal RNA, 829 nt
Filed under: Neonectria ditissima
Lineage: Eukaryota; Fungi; Ascomycota; Sordariomycetes; Hypocreales; Nectriaceae
Description: eukaryotic LSU rRNA
Rfam family: Eukaryotic large subunit ribosomal RNA
Source: RNAcentral
AUUGCCCUAGUAACGGCGAGUGAAGCGGCAACAGCUCAAAUUUGAAAUCUGGCCCCCGGGUCCGAGUUGUAAUUUGUAGAGGAUGCUUUUGGUGCGGUACCUUCCGAGUGCCCUGGAACGGGACGCCAUAGAGGGUGAGAGCCCCGUCUGGUUGGACGCCAAUCCUUUGUAAAGCUCCUUCAACGAGUCGAGUAGUUUGGGAAUGCUGCUCUAAAUGGGAGGUAUAUGUCUUCUAAAGCUAAAUAUUGGCCAGAGACCGAUAGCGCACAAGUAGAGUGAUCGAAAGAUGAAAAGCACUUUGAAAAGAGAGUUAAAAAGUACGUGAAAUUGUUGAAAGGGAAGCGCUCAUGACCAGACUUGGGCUUGGUUGAUCAUCCAGGGUUCUCCCUGGUGCACUCUUCCGGCCCAGGCCAGCAUCAGUUCGCUGUGGGGGAUAAAGGCUUCGGGAAUGUGGCUCCCUCGGGAGUGUUAUAGCCCGUCGUGUAAUACCCUGUGGCGGACUGAGGUUCGCGCAUUCGCAAGGAUGCUGGCGUAAUGGUCAUCAGCGACCCGUCUUGAAACACGGACCAAGGAGUCGUCUUCGUAUGCGAGUGUUCGGGUGUCAAACCCCUACGCGUAAUGAAAGUGAACGCAGGUGAGAGCUUCGGCGCAUCAUCGACCGAUCCUGAUGUUCUCGGAUGGAUUUGAGUAAGAGCAUACGGGGCCGGACCCGAAAGAAGGUGAACUAUGCCUGUAUAGGGUGAAGCCAGAGGAAACUCUGGUGGAGGCUCGCAGCGGUUCUGACGUGCAAAUCGAUCGUCAAAUAUGGGCAUGGGGGCGAAAGACUAAU